GCCUUGUACACACCGCCCGUCACACCACGAGAGUUUGUAACACCCGAAGUCGGUGAGGUAACCUUUUUGGAGCCAGCCGCCUAAGGUGGGAUAGAUGAUUGGGGUGAAGUCGUAACAAGGUAGCCGUAUCGGAAGGUGCGGCUGGAUCACCUCCUUU
RNAcentral lists this ribosomal RNA (157 nucleotides) under Escherichia coli. Its description in RNAcentral is "partial 16S ribosomal RNA". It matches the Rfam family "Bacterial small subunit ribosomal RNA", at positions 1378 to 1533 of the family's 1533-position model. The record is from RNAcentral. Lineage: Bacteria; Pseudomonadati; Pseudomonadota; Gammaproteobacteria; Enterobacterales; Enterobacteriaceae. RNAcentral also lists the same sequence under 1 other name.